Small nucleolar RNA from Caenorhabditis elegans, 129 nucleotides. The record is from Ensembl. Lineage: Eukaryota; Metazoa; Nematoda; Chromadorea; Rhabditida; Rhabditidae.
UAGAAAUUCCUACAUUUCCACUGAAAAAUUGAAAAACAAAUUUCAGAAACAGUGGAGAAAACUCUAAUUUUUCUCGCUUGAAAGCUGAAAAUAGUUUUUUAUUCUAAACAUGUGGUAAUUUUGUGGGAA